UACCAGCACCCCGAGUGGUCGGGACGAUUAUUGGGCCUAAAGCAUCCGUAGCCGGUUCUACAAGUCUUCCGUUAAAUCCACCUGCUUAACAGAUGGGCUGCGGAGGAUACUAUAGAGCUAGGAGGCGGGAGAGGCAAGCGGUACUUAGUGGGUAGGGGUAAAAUCCGUUGAUCCAUUGAAGACCACCAGUGGCGAAGGCGGCUUGCCAGAACGCACUCGACGGUGUGGGAUGAAAGCUGGGGGAGCAAACGGG
This 253-nucleotide ribosomal RNA is filed under the name uncultured bacterium. RNAcentral's name for it is "partial 16S ribosomal RNA". It matches the Rfam family "Archaeal small subunit ribosomal RNA", at positions 474 to 727 of the family's 1478-position model. The record is from RNAcentral.